This 459-nucleotide ribosomal RNA is filed under the name uncultured bacterium. RNAcentral describes it as "partial 16S ribosomal RNA". It matches the Rfam family "Bacterial small subunit ribosomal RNA", at positions 338 to 794 of the family's 1533-position model. The record is from RNAcentral.
CCUACGGGAGGCAGCAGUGAGGAAUAUUGGUCAAUGGACGCGAGUCUGAACCAGCCAAGUAGCGUGAAGGAUGACUGCCCUAUGGGUUGUAAACUUCUUUUAUAUGGGAAUAAAAUGUUCCACGUGUGGGAUUUUGUAUGUAUCAUAUGAAUAAGGAUCGGCUAACUCCGUGCCAGCAGCCGCGGUAAUACGGAGGAUUCGAGCGUUAUCCGGAUUUAUUGGGUUUAAAGGGAGCGUAGGUGGAUUGUUAAGUCAGUUGUGAAAGGUUGCGGCUCAACCGUAGAAUUGCAGUUGAAACUGGCAGUCUUGAGUACAGUAGAGGUGGGCGGAAGUCGUGGUGUAGCGGUGAAAUGCUUAGAUAUCACGAAGAACUCCGAUUGCAAAGGCAGCUCACUGGACUGCAACUGACACUGAGGCUCGAAAGUGUGGGUAUCAAACAGGAUUAGAUACCCCUGUAGU